GGUUAACGCUGGCGGCGUGCCUAACACAUGCAAGUCGAACGGUUCUAAGCGCGAGCUUAGGAUAGUGGCGAACGGGUGAGUAAAAGGUAGGAAUCUACCCCUUGGACGGAGAUAGCUACUGGAAACGGUAGGUAAACUUCGAUAAGCCCGAGAGGGGAAAGUGGUGAGACAGCCGAGGGAUGAGCCUACUCUCCAUCAGGUAGUUGGUGAGAUAAAAGCUUACCAAGCCGAUGACGGAUAACCGGUGUGAGAGCAUGAACGGUCACAAGGGCACUGAGAGACGGGCCCUACUCCUACGGGAGGCAGCAGUGGGGAAUCUUGGACAAUGGGCGAAAGCCUGAUCCAGCGACGCCGCGUGGAGGAAGAAGUCCUUCGGGAUGUAAACUUCUGAACUAGCCGAAUAAAAGGCCUGUGGACACACAGGAGAAGAAAGUAGGCUAGGAAAAGUCCCGGCUAACUACGUGCCAGCAGCCGCGGUAAGACGUAGGGGGCAAGCGUUACCCGGAAUUACUGGGCGUAAAGGGGGCGUAGGCGGUAAAAGAAGUCAACUGUGAAAACCUAUUGCUCAACGAUAGGCUAGCGGAUGAAACUGAAUUACUUGAGGGCACCAGAGGUAGACGGAAUUACCCGAGUA
This 634-nucleotide ribosomal RNA is filed under the name uncultured bacterium. RNAcentral describes it as "bacterial SSU rRNA". It matches the Rfam family "Bacterial small subunit ribosomal RNA", at positions 28 to 677 of the family's 1533-position model. The record is from RNAcentral.